GGGCAGCUAGCUCAGUUGGUUAGAGCGUCGCGUUGACAUCGCGGAGGUCACUGGUUCGACUCCAGUGCUGCCCACCA
Molecule: transfer RNA, 77 nt
Filed under: Candidatus Peribacteria bacterium
Lineage: Bacteria; Candidatus Peregrinibacteriota; Candidatus Peribacteria
Also listed under: 1 other name
Description: tRNA-Val
Rfam family: tRNA
About the family: Transfer RNA (tRNA) molecules are approximately 80 nucleotides in length. Their secondary structure includes four short double-helical elements and three loops (D, anti-codon, and T loops).
Source: RNAcentral